CAUGGUCUUAGCUUGCUAAGUUUGAUGGCGACCGGCGCACGGGUGAGUAACGCGUAUCCAACCUGCCUUACACUCUUGGACAGCCUUCUGAAAGGAAGAUUAAUACAAGAUGGCAUCAUGAGUCCGCAUGUUCACAUGAUUAAAGGUAUUCCGGUAGACGAUGGGGAUGCGUUCCAUUAGGUUGUUGGCGGGGUAACGGCCCACCAAGCCUUCGAUGGAUAGGGGUUCUGAGAGGAAGGUCCCCACAUUGGAACUGAGACACGGUCCAAACUCC
This 274-nucleotide ribosomal RNA is filed under the name uncultured Bacteroides sp. RNAcentral's name for it is "partial 16S ribosomal RNA". It matches the Rfam family "Bacterial small subunit ribosomal RNA", at positions 63 to 339 of the family's 1533-position model. Lineage: Bacteria; Pseudomonadati; Bacteroidota; Bacteroidia; Bacteroidales; Bacteroidaceae. The record is from RNAcentral.